Long non-coding RNA from Cyprinus carpio (common carp), 467 nucleotides. The record is from Ensembl. NCBI's taxonomy places the organism in Eukaryota, Metazoa, Chordata, Actinopteri, Cypriniformes, Cyprinidae.
GAGGACGAUGUCAUUGGACUGCUGCCUCCACUGGCCCUGGAAGCUCUUGCCUCCAUCCAUCCAUCCAUCCAUCCAUCCAUCCAUCCAUCCAUCCACAUGGUCAUCCAUUCAGAACUUUAAAACAAACCAUCAGUCAUAGUUUUUCUUGACAGAAUUCACCUUUUUAGUUAAAAAUGACAGUUCUGUGAAUUUCUUUCAUUUUCAACAUCAGUUUUAAAUUCAGGAAAUGAAUCAGAAUGUAAAAGUCACUCUCAGUUCAGUCCUGAAUGGUGCACAAUGAAACUCAAUGCUGCUGCUGGCAUGUUCCUGACGGAGGUGUAGGAUGUGAAACACAGGAGUAACAUGCAGCUGUCAGCCAUCUAAACCGUACUUCAGAGCUGAAUCCAAUCACCCUUCACAAAUCAAAUAAUUAGUGGCCCUCCAUCUACAGUACUGUAUGUUAAAAGGCUAAUUGCUUGACUGCGGCA